Molecule: ribosomal RNA, 253 nt
Filed under: uncultured bacterium
Lineage: Bacteria
Description: partial 16S ribosomal RNA
Rfam family: Bacterial small subunit ribosomal RNA
Source: RNAcentral
UACAGAGGGUGCAAACGUUGUUCGGAAUUACUGGGCGUAAAGCGUGUGUAGGCGGCCGCGCAAGUCGGAUGUGAAAGCCCUGGGCUCAACUCAGGAAGUGCACCCGAUACUGCGUGGCUCGAGUACCGGAGAGGUUGGUGGAAUUCUCGGUGUAGAGGUGAAAUUCGUAGAUAUCGAGAGGAACACCUGUGGCGAAGGCGGCCAACUGGACGAGUACUGACGCUGAGACACGAAAGCGUGGGGAGCAAACAGG